UAACGAAAUUAUUUUGCAUUUAAUAGAUAAGUAUUACAUAUCUAAAUCAAAACAUUUAUAAAUUUAGUAAAGGUGAUUAAAAAUUAUUAGGUUUGCUUAAGCCAAGUACUGUAAAGGAAUAUUAAUUUAUUUAAUUUUCUAUAAGAAGAGCUAAAUUCUCGUACCUUUUGCAUCAUGGUUUAGCUAGAUAAUAAAUCAAUAUUGAUAUCCUCGAAAUCUAAUGAGCUAUCUUUAAUCUGUCUUUUAGGACUCAAGAAGUAACUGUAGCAAAAGUUUUUUUAGAAUUUAAGAUAGAAAUGAAAUUUUAUUCGUAUUAGAUGAUAGCUAGUUCUUCAUUAAAAACAUAGAAGUGUUAUGAAUUAAGAAUUUAUUAAUUAUUCAAUUUAUUAAUUAAACUUUAAUUUAAUUAAAUUUUUGAGGAUAAGCUCGAAAAUAAAUUUCAAUAAGUAAUUUAGAAUUUUAAUUGAUAUUUAAGCUUGAAAAUAGCUACAAUUUAGAGUUUGUUACAAUCUCAUUAAAUCAUUUAAAAUAUAAUAUAUCUAUUUAUUUUUUUAAUGAAGAAAGCUUAUAAAUAAUAGGUUAAGCUAAUUUUAUGCUAAAAUGAGUAUCUUACGAAAUAAUAUAAAAUUUUAGUAAAAAUAUAAGUUUGAAAAUAAAAAUUUUAUUUUCCAUUAAAAUCGAAAAAAGGAACUCGGCAAAAAGGUAUUCCGCCUGUUUAUCAAAAACAUCGCUCCUUGUAAACUUAAACUAAGGAGUCGGACCUGCCCAGUGAAAUUUUUAACGGCCGCGGUACUCUGACCGUGCAAAGGUAGCAUAAUCAUUUGCCUUAUAAUUUGAAGGCUAGUAUGAAUGGUUUGACGAGAAUACAACUGUCUCUUUUCGAUUUAUUAGAAAUUUAUAUUCAGGUGAAGAAGCCUGAAUGCAAUUAAAAGACAAGAAGACCCUAUCGAGCUUGAAACAAAUUAAUAGACUAAUCGGUAAUAAUACGUAAAAGUGUUUAUAUUAAAUACUUUGGUUGGGGCGACUGAGGAACAAAGAAAGCUUCCUUAUUUAUAGAAAAAUUUACUGAUAUUGAUCCAAAAACUUUGAUUAAUGGAAUUAGUUACCGUAGGGAUAACAGCAUUAUCUUUUUUAAGAGCUCUAAUCGAAAAAAAGGUUUGUGACCUCGAUGUUGGACCAGAAUAUCCUAAAGGUGCAGAAGCCUUUAAGGGUUGGUCUGUUCGACCAUUAAAAUUCUACGUGAUCUGAGUUCAGACCGGCGUGAGCCAGGUCAGUUUCUAUCUUUA
This 1286-nucleotide ribosomal RNA is filed under the name Oliva spicata. RNAcentral's name for it is "16S ribosomal RNA". The stretch from base 629 to 1286 matches the Rfam family "Archaeal large subunit ribosomal RNA", at positions 1423 to 2715 of the family's 2987-position model. Lineage: Eukaryota; Metazoa; Mollusca; Gastropoda; Neogastropoda; Olividae. The record is from RNAcentral.